Molecule: long non-coding RNA, 673 nt
Organism: Anas platyrhynchos (mallard)
Lineage: Eukaryota; Metazoa; Chordata; Aves; Anseriformes; Anatidae
Source: RefSeq, a predicted model, not a curated record
GUGGCAAAGAUGCAGAGAAAGAGCACACCUGAAAGCUGGGGGGAGGGAGGGGGUAAUCCAGACAAUGAUCUAGUUUUGCCCCACAGCUCUUCAGUUCUGAUUUAUCUCCUCCUUCACAUCUUCAGUGUCUCGUCAUCCUUGGGACAAGGAAUCAGCAGUCCAAAAAGCUCUGAGAGAACAACCUCUGGCUGCCAGUGAUGGACCUGGAUUUGAUGGGACUUCCUCAACCAACCCAAACACCUGGGAAAAGGCAGAAGAUGCUUGGAAAUGGGGACACAGGCCAGGAAUCUUUCAGAUGAAGGUGUGUGGACCUUCAAGGGAGAUACUGGAGGGAUGGAUUUUCUGAUCUUGAGGAUCAGGAGCUGCAGUAUUUCACUGCACUUUAUUUUCAUUCUGACCACUAGAAGAACAGCCUGGCAUGAGUUGGACUUAAAUUAUCUACUUUAUUACCUACACCGAUCAUUGACUUUGCUGCUGAAAAGAUGAUAACUAUUGAGAUUCACUAACCACAACAUGAGAAAGCUAUAAACAGGAUUCUGCAAGAAAUCCUUCCCAAAUUUCCACACUUUCAAUUUCUUUAUCAAAGCAUUUGCAAUUCUCAUUUCAAAGUCAUGGAAAUAAUACCCAAUAUUGAGUAAAAAUGAUGAUAGAUAUUUAAUCAAAAGUUAGAAAA